GAUAAUCAAAGCGUACAUAAUCUGUACAGGAAUAGAAUAAUUCUGAAACUUCUUACUCAUGUCCAUUGCAUAAAGGAAAUGCAAAGGUAGGAUACUUGCCUGAUUCGCUGAUUACAAAUCUCAACUUAGGUUUUAUCUCUUUAUCACAACCUAUCAAUAAUCAGAUCAUUCGUUCGAUUAGAACAAUAUAUCUUAACACAUAGUACUGUCUAUUACAGUCAGCACAUAGUCCAAUCACAUAAUCACAGUGAUCAUACUUUUAGUUCCUAUUCUAUACUUGAAAUAUUUUUAUACAUUUUUCAAAUAUCUCAUCCAUGCUCUUACAGUAGUCUUUUCUUUCUUUUAUAAGGUCUGACAUUUGUCGGCGUACCGACAGCUUUAUCGGGUAAAUACUGAGUCUAAGACUCUUAUUCUAUACCUCAACAUCUGUAAAUAUCAG
This 439-nucleotide long non-coding RNA is filed under the name Panax ginseng (ginseng). RNAcentral describes it as "long non-coding RNA (PGIN_LNC005083)". Lineage: Eukaryota; Viridiplantae; Streptophyta; Magnoliopsida; Apiales; Araliaceae. The record is from RNAcentral.